Molecule: non-coding RNA, 97 nt
Filed under: Legionella londiniensis
Lineage: Bacteria; Pseudomonadati; Pseudomonadota; Gammaproteobacteria; Legionellales; Legionellaceae
Description: TPP sequence
Rfam family: TPP riboswitch aptamer (THI element)
About the family: Vitamin B(1) in its active form thiamin pyrophosphate (TPP) is an essential coenzyme that is synthesised by coupling of pyrimidine and thiazole moieties in bacteria.
Source: Rfam by way of RNAcentral
ACAAAUCACCAGGGGUGCUUUGUUUUGCAAAGCUGAGAAAAACCCUUAUAACCUGCACUGGAUAAUGCCUGCGGAGGGAGAGUGAGCCUUGGCUGUA